ACAGGUGUGACACAGGUACAGGUGUGACACAGGUGUGAUGGGACAGGUGUGACACAGGUGUGACACAGGUGUGACACAGGUGUGAUGGGACAGGUGUGA
Long non-coding RNA from Myiozetetes cayanensis, 99 nucleotides. RefSeq lists it as uncharacterized. The transcript has 3 exons. The record is from RefSeq and is a predicted model, not a curated record. Lineage: Eukaryota; Metazoa; Chordata; Aves; Passeriformes; Tyrannidae.